RNAcentral lists this ribosomal RNA (874 nucleotides) under uncultured euryarchaeote. RNAcentral describes it as "bacterial SSU rRNA". It matches the Rfam family "Archaeal small subunit ribosomal RNA", at positions 21 to 903 of the family's 1478-position model. The record is from RNAcentral. Lineage: Archaea; Methanobacteriati; Methanobacteriota.
GGAUACUGCUAUCCGGAUCCGACUAAGCCAUGCGAGUCGAGAGUCUUCGGGACUCGGCGAACUGCUCAGUAACAUAUGGUUAACCUACCCUUAGGUCGGGGAUAAUCUCGGGAAACUGAGGCUAAUACCCGAUAGGAAUUCUGUUCUGGAAUGACAGAAUUCCGAAAGCUCCGGCGCCUAAGGAUGGGACCAUAUCCUAUCAGCCUGUUGGGGGUGUAACGAACCCUCAAAGCGAUAACGGGUACGGGCCAUGAGAGUGGGAGCCCGGAGAUGGAUUCUGAGACAUGAAUCCAGGUCCUACGGGACGCAGCAGGCGCGAAACCUUCGCAAUGUGCUAACGCACGACGAGGGGAUCCGGAGUGCCUAUGCUCUGCAUAGGCUUUUGCCAAGUCCAAACAGCUUGGCGAAUAAGGGGUGGGCAAGACGGGUGCCAGCCGCCGCGGUAAUACCCGCGCCCCAAGUGGUAUCCACGAUUAUUGGGCCUAAAGCGUCCGUAGCCGGUCUGAUAAGUCCUCGGUGAAAUUCACUAGUAGACUAGUGAGCUUGCCGGGGAUACUAUCAGACUUGGGACUGGGAGAGGGUAGAGGUACUCCCAGGGGAGGGGUAAAAUCCUGUAAUCCUGGGGGGACCACCUGUGGCGAAGGCGUCUACCUAGAACAGUUCCGACGGUGAGGGACGAAAGCUAGGGGAGCGAUCGGGAUUAGAUACCCCGGUAGUCCUAGCCGUAAACGAUGCCCGCUUGGUGUUGCAAAUCCUUCGGGGGUUUGCAGUGCCGGAGUGUAGAUGUUAAGCGGGCCGCCUGGGGAGUACGGCCGCAAGGCUGAAACUUAAGGGAAUUGGCGGGGGAGCACACAAGGGGUGGAGGCUACGGUUC